Molecule: transfer RNA, 71 nt
Filed under: Amycolatopsis sp. FDAARGOS 1241
Lineage: Bacteria; Bacillati; Actinomycetota; Actinomycetes; Pseudonocardiales; Pseudonocardiaceae
Description: tRNA-Ser
Source: RNAcentral
CCCGGUGCGCAGGCAACGGUUACUUCCACUGAGAAUGGGCGGGUUGCGGGUUCGAAUCCCGUCACCGCGGG